GCAUAUCAAUAAGCGGAGGAAAAGAAACCAACAGGGAUUGCCCCAGUAACGGCGAGUGAAGCGGCAACAGCUCAAAUUUGAAAUCUGGCCCCUCGGGGUCCGAGUUGUAAUUUGUAGAGGAUGCUUUUGGUGAGGUGCCGCCCGAGUUCCCUGGAACGGGACGCCACAGAGGGUGAGAGCCCCGUCUGGCUGGCCACCGAGCCUCUGUAAAGCUCCUUCGACGAGUCGAGUAGUUUGGGAAUGCUGCUCAAAAUGGGAGGUAUAUGUCUUCUAAAGCUAAAUAUUGGCCAGAGACCGAUAGCGCACAAGUAGAGUGAUCGAAAGAUGAAAAGCACCUUGAAAAGAGGGUUAAAUAGUACGUGAAAUUGUUGAAAGGGAAGCGCUUGUGACCAGACUUGGGCGCGGCGGAUCAUCCGGGGUUCUCUCCGGUGCACUUCGACGCGUCCAGGCCAGCAUCAGUUCGUCGCGGGGGAAAAAGGCUUCGGGAACGUGGCUCCUCCGGGAGUGUUAUAGCCCGUUGCAUAAUACCCUGCGGUGGACUGAGGACCGCGCAUCUGCAAGGAUGCUGGCGUAAUGGUCACCAGCGACCCGUCUUGAAACACGGACCAAGGAGUCGUCUUCGUAUGCGAGUGUUCGGGUGUCAAACCCCUACGCGUAAUGAAAGUGAACGCAGGUGAGAGCUUCGGCGCAUCAUCGACCGAUCCUGAUGUUCUCGGAUGGAUUUGAGUAAGAGCAUACGGGGCCGGACCCGAAAGAAGGUGAACUAUGCCUGUAUAGGGUGAAGCCAGAGGAAACUCUGGUGGAGGCUCGCAGCGGUUCUGACGUGCAAAUCGAUCGUCAAAUAUGGGCAUGGGGGCGAAAGACUAAUCGAACCUUCUAGUAGCUGGUUUCCGCCGA
RNAcentral lists this ribosomal RNA (897 nucleotides) under Trichoderma oblongisporum. RNAcentral's name for it is "LSU rRNA". It matches the Rfam family "Eukaryotic large subunit ribosomal RNA", at positions 38 to 964 of the family's 3401-position model. The record is from RNAcentral. Lineage: Eukaryota; Fungi; Ascomycota; Sordariomycetes; Hypocreales; Hypocreaceae.